Molecule: long non-coding RNA, 3465 nt
Filed under: Oncorhynchus kisutch (coho salmon)
Lineage: Eukaryota; Metazoa; Chordata; Actinopteri; Salmoniformes; Salmonidae
Description: lncRNA (ENSOKIG00005031566.1)
Source: RNAcentral
AUGUGGAGGCUAUAUACAGGGUAUUACGGUACAGAGUCAAUGUGGAGGCUAUAUACAGGGUGUUACGGUACAGAGUCAAUGUGGAGGCUAUAUACAGGGGGUACCGGUACAGAGUCAAUGUGGAGGCUAUAUACAGGGUGUUACGGUACAGAGUCAAUGUGGAGGCUAUAUACAGGGUGUUACGGUACAGAGUCAAUGUGGAGGCUAUAUACAGGGUAUUACGGUACAGAGUCAAUGUGGAGGCUAUAUACAGGGUAUUACGGUACAGAGUCAAUGUGGAGGCUAUAUACAGGGUAUUACGGUACCGAGUCAAUGUGGAGGCUAUAUACAGGGUAUUACGGUACAGAGUCAAUGUGGAGGCUAUAUACAGGGUGUUACGGUACAGAGUCAAUGUGGAGGCUAUAUACAGGGUAUUACGGUACAGAGUCAAUGUGGAGGCUAUAUACAGGGUAUUACGGUACAGAGUCAAUGUGGAGGCUAUAUACAGGGUAUUACGGUACAGAGUCAAUGUGGAGGCUAUAUACAGGGUAUUACGGUACAGAGUCAAUGUGGAGGCUAUAUACAGGGUAUUACAGUACAGAGUCAAUGUGGAGGCUAUAUACAGGGUAUUACGGUACAGAGUCAAUGUGGAGGCUAUAUACAGGGUAUUACGGUACAGAGUCAAUGUGGAGGCUAUAUACAGGGUAUUACGGUACAGAGUCAAUGUGGAGGCUAUAUACAGGGUAUUACGGUACAGAGUCAAUGUGGAGGCUAUAUACAGGGUAUUACGGUACAGAGUCAAUGUGGAGGCUAUAUACAGGGUAUUACGGUACAGAGUCAAUGUGGAGGCUAUAUACAGGGGGUACCGGUACAGAGUCAAUGUGGAGGCUAUAUACAGGGUAUUACGGUACAGAGUCAAUGUGGAGGCUAUAUACAGGGUAUUACGGUACAGAGUCAAUGUGGAGGUUAUAUACAGGGUGUUACGGUACAGAGUCAAUGUGGAGGCUAUAUACAGGGGGUACCGGUACAGAGUCAAUGUGGAGGCUAUAUACAGGGUAUUACGGUACAGGGUCAAUGUGGAGGCUAUAUACAGGGGGUACCGGUACAGAGUCAAUGUGGAGGCUAUAUACAGGAGGUACCGGUACAGAGUCAAUGUGGAGGCUAUAUACAGGGUAUUACGGUACAGAGUCAAUGUGGAGGCUAUAUACAGGGUAUUACGGUACAGAGUCAAUGUGGAGGCUAUAUACAGGGUAUUACGGUACAGAGUCAAUGUGGAGGCUAUAUACAGGGUAUUACGGUACAGAGUCAAUGUGGAGGCUAUAUACAGGGUGUUACGGUACAGAGUCAAUGUGGAGGCUAUAUACAGGGGGUACCGGUACAGAGUCAAUGUGGAGGCUAUAUACAGGGUAUUACGGUACAGGGUCAAUGUGGAGGCUAUAUACAGGGUAUUACGGUACAGGGUCAAUGUGGAGGCUAUAUACAGGGUAUUACGGUACAGAGUCAAUGUGGAGGCUAUAUACAGGGUAUUACGGUACAGAGUCAAUGUGGAGGCUAUAUACAGGGUAUUACGGUACAGAGUCAAUGUGGAGGCUAUAUACAGGGUAUUACGGUACAGAGUCAAUGUGGAGGCUAUAUACAGGGUGUUACGGUACAGAGUCAAUGUGGAGGCUAUAUACAGGGGGUACCGGUACAGAGUCAAUGUGGAGGCUAUAUACAGGGUAUUACGGUACAGAGUCAAUGUGGAGGUUAUAUACAGGGUGUUACGGUACAGAGUCAAUGUGGAGGCUAUAUACAGGGGGUACCGGUACAGAGUCAAUGUGGAGGCUAUAUACAGGGUAUUACGGUACAGGGUCAAUGUGGAGGCUAUAUACAGGGGGUACCGGUACAGAGUCAAUGUGGAGGCUAUAUACAGGAGGUACCGGUACAGAGUCAAUGUGGAGGCUAUAUACAGGGUAUUACGGUACAGAGUCAAUGUGGAGGCUAUAUACAGGGUAUUACGGUACAGAGUCAAUGUGGAGGCUAUAUACAGGGUAUUACGGUACAGAGUCAAUGUGGAGGCUAUAUACAGGGUAUUACGGUACAGAGUCAAUGUGGAGGCUAUAUACAGGGUGUUACGGUACAGAGUCAAUGUGGAGGCUAUAUACAGGGGGUACCGGUACAGAGUCAAUGUGGAGGCUAUAUACAGGGUAUUACGGUACAGGGUCAAUGUGGAGGCUAUAUACAGGGUAUUACGGUACAGGGUCAAUGUGGAGGCUAUAUACAGGGUAUUACGGUACAGAGUCAAUGUGGAGGCUAUAUACAGGGUAUUACGGUACAGAGUCAAUGUGGAGGCUAUAUACAGGGUAUUACGGUACAGAGUCAAUGUGGAGGCUAUAUACAGGGUAUUACGGUACAGAGUCAAUGUGGAGGCUAUAUACAGGGUGUUACGGUACAGAGUCAAUGUGGAGGCUAUAUACAGGGGGUACCGGUACAGAGUCAAUGUGGAGGCUAUAUACAGGGGGUACCGGUACAGAGUCAAUGUGGAGGCUAUAUACAGGGUAUUACGGUACAGGGUCAAUGUGGAGGCUAUAUACAGGGUAUUACGGUACAGAGUCAAUGUGGAGGCUAUAUACAGGGGGUACCGGUACAGAGUCAAUGUGGAGGCUAUAUACAGGGUAUUACGGUACAGGGUCAAUGUGGAGGCUAUAUACAGGGUAUUACGGUACAGGGUCAAUGUGGAGGCUAUAUACAGGGUAUUACGGUACAGAGUCAAUGUGGAGGCUAUAUACAGGGUAUUACGGUACAGAGUCAAUGUGGAGGCUUUAUACAGGGUGUUACGGUACAGAGUCAAUGUGGAGGCUAUAUACAGGGUAUUACGGUACAGAGUCAAUGUGGAGGCUAUAUACAGGGGGUACCGGUACAGAGUCAAUGUGGAGGCUAUAUACAGGGUGUUACGGUACAGAGUCAAUGUGGAGGCUAUAUACAGGGUAUUACGGUACAGAGUCAAUGUGGAGGCUAUAUACAGGGUAUUACGGUACAGAGUCAAUGUGGAGGCUAUAUACAGGGGGUACCGGUACCGAGUCAAUGUGGAGGUUAUAUACAGGGGAACCGGUACAGAGUCAAUGUGGAGGCUAUAUACAGGGUGUUACGGUACAGAGUCAAUGUGGAGGCUAUAUACAGGGUAUUACGGUACAGAGUCAAUGUGGAGGCUAUAUACAGGGUAUUACGGUACAGAGUCAAUGUGGAGGCUAUAUACAGGGUGUUACGGUACAGAGUCAAUGUGGAGGCUAUAUACAGGGUAUUACGGUACAGAGUCAAUGUGGAGGCUAUAUACAGGGUAUUACGGUACAGAGUCAAUGUGGAGGCUAUAUACAGGGUAUUACGGUACAGAGUCAAUGUGGAGGCUAUAUACAGGGUAUUACGGUACAGAGUCAAUGUGGAGGCUAUAUACAGGGUAUUACGGUACAGAGUCAAUGUGGAGGCUAUAUACAGGGGGUACCGGUAUAG